Sorghum bicolor (sorghum) is the source of this 3399-nucleotide RNA transcript. It is a transcript of the gene named serine/arginine repetitive matrix protein 1, with no coding region annotated. The record is from RefSeq and is a predicted model, not a curated record. NCBI's taxonomy places the organism in Eukaryota, Viridiplantae, Streptophyta, Magnoliopsida, Poales, Poaceae. The transcript is spliced from 13 exons.
CGCCAUCUAACCCUAGUCACCCGCGCCCCCCCUCCACUCCGCCCCCGUCUCCUCCCUCAGCGGCGGCGGCGGCGGCGGCGGCUGCUGCUGCUGCUGCGGCAUCGGUGUCAGCGAAGAUGUCGGGCGGCUUCUUCCGGGGGACGUCCGCUGACCAGGACACGCGCUUCUCCAACAAGCAAGCCAAGCUGCUCAAGACGCAGAAGUUCGCGCCCGAGCUUGACCAUCUGGUGGAUAUGUCAAAGGUUAAGAUGGACGUGAUGAAGCCCUGGAUUGCCAAGCGAGUCACUGAGCUCCUUGGGUUCGAGGACGAGGUUCUCAUCAACUUCAUCUAUGGCCUCCUCGAGGAGAAGGAAGCGGAUGGAAAGAAGAUUCAGAUCCAGCUGACAGGUUUCAUGGAGAAGAACACAGUGAAGUUCAUGAAGGAGCUCUGGAGCCUUCUCCUCAGUGCACAGCAAAAUGCCAGUGGGGUGCCUCAACAGUUUCUGGAUGAAAAGGAGGCUGAGAUACAGCAGAAAAAGGCAGAGGAUGAUAGGAUUGCACAGGAGAUCCAAAAGAAGCGAGAGAAAGAGGCAAAGGACUCAGAACUGGAAAAGAACAAAAUGACGGAUGGGGAUGCUGGUAACUCAAGAUCCUUUGGUGAUCCAGUUGGCUCUGCUUUAAAUAGUACAAAUUUCAAUGCCGACGAAGAAAAAGACAAUGAUUUCAAGCGCAGCUUAAGACCAAAGAACAGGGGAAGUCGCAGAUCCAGGAGCAUAUCUUUGUCGCCACGCGGUAGGCAAAGAUCUAUUUCUCCCAGAAAUAAUUCUCGUUCUCCUCCUAGGCGUUCCCGCUCUAUUGAUAGACACCGUAGAUCAUCACGGCGUUCACCUUCACCUAGACAUUCUGUUUCUCCCCGAAGGCAUUCUCCAAGAACCACAACUUCAAUUUCUAGAAGGAGAUCACCUUACUCAAGGAGAGGGUCACCUUCCUUGUCAAGAUACCCAUCCCCAUCUUCACGCCGGAGGUCUCCUCGUCGCAGAAAAUCACCAUCAUCUGGGCCAGAAAGGUCACUUUCUCCUCGCCAUCGUCGUUCACCAGCUCGUGCACCAAGGAGAUCACCAUCUCCUACAAGUCGAAGGUCUCCUGUUCGACGCAGAUUCUCACCAGGUAGACGUCCAUCCCCAUCCCCAGCAAGGCGCAGGCCAAGGUCCCCAUCUCCAGGAAGGCGCAGGCCAAGGUCCCCAUCUCCAGGAAGGCGCCGGCCAAGGUCCCCAUCUCCAAGAAGGCGCAGGCUACGGUCCCCAUCCCCAGGAUGGCGCAGGCCACGAUCCCCGUCCCCAGGAAGGCGCAGGCCACGGUCCCCGUCCCCAGGAAGGCGCAGGCCACGGUCCCCGUCCCCAGGAAGGCGUAGGCCUCGGUCCCCAUCUCCAGGAAGGCGCAGACCAUGGUCGCGAUCUCCAAUAAGACGUCGAUCCCCAUCUCCAAAACGUCGGAGGAGAUCACCGAGUUCACCAAAGACUCGUUCUGCAAAUCGGCGUUCGUCUCCACAGGGAAGGAGGAGUAUCACUCCGAAAACUAGCAGGAGUCCUGAUCGUUCUCGCCGGAGUUUAAGUAGAGACAUCGAGAAAGAAACAAAUGGCAUCCCCUCCAUUAAAGACAGAGAUGUGCACCCAAGGGGCCAAGAACAAAAAUCAGAUGAUGCCGAUAGGGAUGUUGCAAGGAUUGGUGGUCGUCAUUCCCCAGAUUCUGAGCAUAGAUUGUCAAAAUCCUUGAGGUCUCCUAACUAUGAAGAAAGGAACUCCAAACGUGAUAGCUCUUUCAAGAACUCAGGCAAACAUAUACCUAGUCAGGGCAGCGCAGAUACAAGUGGAGAUGAGGAAGGCAGUCGUGCUAGAGAGAAUGCCCGAAAAGCAAAUUCAGCUCGUAGGAAAACAAAGGAUUUCUCGGCAGGUCUGGAACUUAAGAAAGUUGGUGCCGGUGACUCAAGCCCUAGAGAAAAAUCUCCAUUCAGUUUACGACAGAGUGGCAAGGGUGUCCAGAAGAAACACCCUGAUCAACUGUCAGAAUCAUCAGAAGACGAGCUUGUUGGUACAGGAAUAAAGCGUCAAACUGAUUCACCUGAAGACUCUCAUGGGAAACAAUGUUCCCCUACUAGAAUUGAAAAUGAUGCCACUUAUUCGAAGGAUGGUAGAAACAGUGAGCAUGUCAUGAGAGGUUUGCGUGAUGAUUCUGAUGAUGCUAUUGAUGCAAAGAAAUAUUUAUCUAAAGUCAAUGAGGACUCCCAAUUGGAAGAUGGAAGCCCUUUGAAAAAAACUAAGAAAAGAACAUAUGGUAAUAGCCACAAUGAUUCUGGUAGUUCAGGGUCUGAAGAACGUGACAAACAUAGAUCCCACUCUGAGAAGCGAAGGCACAAGAAAGCUCAUAAGCAUAAGAAACAGUAUGAUGAUAGUUCUGAGUCUGAUUCUGAGCCAGAUGGCAAAGAGGCAAAGAAGAGAAGGAAGGAAGAGAAGAGGCUAAGAAAAGAGGAAAGACGUCGAAGACGUGAAGAACGAUACCGCAGAAGGGCGGAACGCCAUGCCAGCAAGCAAAAAUUAAAGAAUACUGAUACUGCUGCUGUGCCUUCAGACUCUGAGAAGGAUCGGGAUUCUGAUUCAGAUGUUGCUGUUAGGAAAAGAGGUUCUCAUGCUGGCAGAGAAGAGUCUGAUCAGAAGAAACUAGAAAUUGAACUUCGUGAGAAGGCCCUUGAAACUCUUAGAGCAAAGAAAGCCAUCAACAACUAGCCUGAGAAAUUCCUUGCGACACAUUUGAAUUUCUAUUUUCAAGAGCUUUUCUCAAUGUUAUGGAAGUGUGUUUAUAUGAUACCUAUUUAAUGUUCUGUGUGUUUACGUGGCAGUUGAUCUGAGGAUUCCUGAGCUGUUUCCUUGAUGCAGAUGCAUUCAGGCUUAGCAGCCAGUUAUCUGAUUAGCACCAUGUGCACAAGCUUUUUAUGUUCUUCAGGAUGAUAUCAACGCCUCAACAAAAACAAGUUGGUAACAUAUUGAUUGGAAAAUCUGCUAAAGCAUUCCUACUUACCAGUUGUUUGGUUGGUGCUGCUUAGUUUCAGGUUCGGCAGCAGUCAAUAUAUCUGAUUACCAGGUUCUUAUCAGCAAAAUAUUCCAAGCAGUUAAUAAUUUGCAAUGCCUAAGUCAUCAUUACUUUUCAGUAACUUAUUUCUAAUGUUGACUGAGAAAUAGAGGCCUUAUGCCACAUUAUUUCACACAUUGAAUCAGCAAACCAGCUGGUUAUUUGAGUUGCAAUUAAGAUUUGCAGAAAUCAUCUUCCACCUAAGAUGAAAUGCUAAAGUUUGCAGAGGAUUUUAAUGGACUCUAGGUUUAGUCCACAAACUUAUGCUAUUAUAUUAUACUUGCUGUUUCAAUGAUA